Molecule: long non-coding RNA, 879 nt
Filed under: Pan troglodytes (chimpanzee)
Lineage: Eukaryota; Metazoa; Chordata; Mammalia; Primates; Hominidae
Description: long non-coding RNA NONPTRT014298
Source: RNAcentral
GACCAGGUGUCAGCCUCAGAUCCAUCACUGUGUGUCCUCAGCCCCUCCCUUGCUCUCUCUGAGCUGGGGAAACGGCAUCUUCAUUUGAGUGGGUGCGGGAAGGACCUCAUUUUGGAACCACAGGCCUCCCUGGACUGCCUCCAGGAGUCUGGGGCUGUGGCUUCAAGUGGGGAAAAGAAUGGAGCCAUGGGACAGCUCUGACUCACAGGCCCAGCCGCCAACUCAGGGGCAGCUGAGCCACACCAGGGAAAAUACCCGACGGCUAUAAGGCCUGGCCAUACAAAGCCCACCGUCCCAGGGAUCCUGGCUUCAGAAAACACCCAGAGCCUGUGACUUCUCUUCUAGCUGUGGCAGGAGAUGAAUGAGGUGAUACCCGGAUCUGCCUUGUAAAGAAAAUAACUAGCCCACAUUCCAGACAGGGAUUAUCUUUGCUGAUGCAAAAGCCUCUGUCUGGAGGUCAGAAGAUCUCAGCUCCCUGUGUCUCAGGCCUGCUCCUUAUGGGAACUUGAGUGGAUUACACCACAUCAGGCCUCAGUUUCCCCAGAGUUAAAGAAGUUUAUUCAAGGGCAAAGUGUGAGGGUAGUCGUCAGGAAACAGGAAAACCAGAGAAUGGUGAUCAGUGCUUCCCUGUGUGGGGCAAGGUGAGGAUGGUUUAUAUAGCCAGAAACAGGGGUGGGUAACACAAUUACAUUUUCCAUACAAAGGUUAACGUAGAGCUACAAGAUUUGAUUGGCUACUAUUGACUACACUUUAAGGGGGCUGCUUAACACUCAUUUGUAAAGAGGUAAUGAUCACCAGCGUGUCAUUUAGUCCAGGUUUGAAUAAAGAAUGGGGAGCCUGGUUAAAGUAUAACAUUCUCAACACAAAAAUCAAGAGGCA